RNAcentral lists this long non-coding RNA (13142 nucleotides) under Populus trichocarpa (black cottonwood). RNAcentral describes it as "long non-coding RNA (PTRI_LNC000693)". Lineage: Eukaryota; Viridiplantae; Streptophyta; Magnoliopsida; Malpighiales; Salicaceae. The record is from RNAcentral.
UUUUUUGAAAUGUUGUGUUUUACAUUAGCAACAACUUUAAAUUUCGUGUUUUAUAGAUACAUUACCAAAUUAUACUAUUUCGAGGACACGUGUAUCAAAAUCGAUGAAUAAGGUCACAAAUAUGUGAAACAUUUCCGCUUCUUACUUCCUCGGUGUCAAGCCAUCUCAUGUGCUCGCUACUCAGGGCUGCCAACCUGUUUCUUUCUACGGACUCCUGUUCAAAGGAAAUGAAAAGGAGUAAACAAACAAGGGAUGGCAUGAAACAGAAAACAGGAAUGCAUCGCCUCCUGACCAACAAAACAUUUGCGAAUUAAUUCCAAUGUGUCUUUUUAAUUCUUAUAGGUGCAAGAAUAAGUAUUAAUGAUAUGGUUAUCCUAUCAAGUAUCUAGAAUUAUCCAUAGACUAGUAUAAAUGUAAGUGUUGAGAAUAUUGUAAUCCACGUCCAUAAAGACUUAUUCUCAUUUAAGAGUAAUAUAAUAGAAUCUAUGGAGCCCAACGAGAGAAUUAGAACUUUGCAUCAAAAGAAACACAGAAGAGGCCAAGAAAGGCUAGGUGAAGGUUGACAGGUUCUUAUAUAAGAGAUGAGGUGGUACAAGAGAGAUCCCAUAUGAAGAAAAGAAGAGAGAGCUCUAGCUUAAAGAGACGGAAAAUGGACAAGGAGCCAUGAUAGAAGGCAGCAAUCUGAUGAAGAGAUGGCCAAAUACAAAGGUCACUUGAAAAACCAAAUCUUGAAAGAGAGAUGUUUGACUAAUGAAAUGUGGCAAUAAUGACAAGAGGAGAAAAAUGACUAAGAGUAGCCAUGUUAAGACCAAUACAAUUGCUAAAGCAAAGAGAUUGAAGAGAUGCUCAAGAUGAAGAUGUAAGAAAAAGGAAAUUAUGGCAGCAAAGUAGUCUUCUAACCAACUAUAAUGAGACAGUAGCUACAACAAGGCAAUGAUUGUGUGCCAAGGGAAAUGGUAACAAGAAUAAGAAAGUUUGCAUGCAUCGGCAACACAUUUUUUAAUUUCAAGGAUUGUGAGAUUUUUAAAAUUAAGGGGGUGUUGGAAUUAAUUUUGAAGUCUACAUCAAGUGUCCUUUUACUUCUUCAACGAGCAUAUAUAAGUACUAAUGAUAUUGUUAUCCUAUUAAGUAUCUAGAAUUAUCCACACACUAGUAUAAAUAUAUGUGUUGAGUGUAUUGUAAUACAAGUCCAAGUCCAUAGGGACUUCCUCUCAUUUGAGAGUAAUAUAAUAUAAGUUAGAGUUCCCUUCCUACCUUCUCUCCUAAUUUUCUCUAACAACAGUUACUGACAUCAGAGAAACACAUGGCAAGAGAUGUAAAGAGGAGAAUAUGUGCCUCACUUUGGUAUGAAAUGAGAUAGAGCAGGGGAAACCGUGUUCCUGGGAUAUAUCUUUUCAUAAUCAAGUGAACGGGGCAGAGAGAAAAUCAAGCAUGAUUUUUGGCGGCAUAAAGCAAAAGUGAACAACCUAGCACUGCACGCAUUUCCAAUGUCUUAUGUACUUUGUUGCUUAAAUACGAAACAUCUGUAACAAAAGAAUGGCAACAAAAAUAAUUUGGUCUUGACUCAUAGUAUUAGUAGACAAUGGUUCUGACAAUUGAAUAUGUCAUUCUAUCCGAUAGGUACAUUUUCUCUAUCAUAUUUCUAUGAAGAAUCAUCAGGAUUUUAAGCUUCUUAUUAACAGGAAAUGGAUUGGGUAAUGUGCACAAGUAAUAUCAGCCUAAACUUUUAAUGAGCUUCGUGCAUCCAUUCAUAUGCUAAAUUUUCUAUAUUUAUGGUUUGUAGAUUAUGGUCCUUGAUAUUUAACUACACAGCCUUUCAUAUGCUAAAUUGUCUAAAGUCAUGGGCAAGAAGAUCAUGGCAGUGACAAUUAACUACACAAUGCCAUACAGUAAUUCAAGGAUGAGAAAUAUGAAACUUAAUAUCAAUUGGAAAUGGCAAGUGAACAAAGAACAUUUUGAUAAAAAGAUGAACACAAAUUAGUAUCAGCCAGCAGUACAGGUCAUUGAUCUUAAGUAAUUUAAUUGGUUUCAAUUCUUUGCCAGAACACAUGCAAGAAAGCAAAAGGCACCAAUAUGCCAACAUACAAAGAAGAAAGCUUCAAUUUUGCAGGUCCUACUAGUUCUUGGUGACAUGCUCUGCAUGGAUGUCCUUAAGAGAUACUAUCCAUUGUAUGCCUAGUAAAGUUUAAAACAUGUACAGAUGACUAAUUAAGGGUUGUUCAGCAAGCACUUACCUGCAUGGCUCUUGCUCCAAAGGACCUGACCAUCUACAGUGGUAAGGUGUUCAUCAUCAAGGCGCUUCCAUGUUUUGAUAGACUUGACAGCUCCCCAACCUCCUUGCUCUGUCUUUUCCAAAGAUGCCAGCACCACCCUCGCUCUCCUUGACCACCCUGCCUUCCCAUAGGCAUGGUAUCCAAAACCCCCAGCAUAACAAAGUUGUAUACCAGUAAGCUCACCACAGAAGUCAUUGAGAUGAUCAUGUCCGGUGAAAACACCUUUCACAUCCCCAGCUUCUACCAUGGUUGUGAAGAAGCCCGAGUUCACAGAAGCAGAGCUAAUGCCUUCUUGUCUCACUCCUGUGAAGUUUGAUGAAUCAAAACUUGCAAAUUCAGGCAAUGGGAUGUGAAAGUACACCAGCCCAGGUGCAGGUCCUUUCUGAGCCUCUGGCUGUCUCAUGUAUGCUCUCUGAAUGGAAAGGGAAAAAUGGGAAUUCAACAGCUAAUAAUUAAGCUAAUGCACCUUUUAGAAGUUAAGACUAUGCAUAAUGUAGAUUCUACUUGUGUGUAGACAAACUAGUGAUUCUUUUUACUGAUAAAUGAUGGAAGUAAAUCAUACAGUGACCUUCAAAUUACUUCAACCGUAUAAAAGAGUGGUGUUAUUACCCGAAGCUUCGCAGAGGUGCGUUGGAACCAAAGCUGCUGCGAGGGUUUAAUCCAACCAUAGCCAGGGAUUGCCGGGACUGUGGAGUAGUCUCCGCUAUCAAGGAAAUAAAGAUUAAGAGCUGAUUUAUUUUCAAAUCGUGAACCUUUAACCCCGCCAAUCUCCAGGUUAUAGUUCCCAAAACCAUCAAUGAUGUGUACCUCCGCAGGAUUGACUUGAGAGAGAGUAUUCUUAAGGCCAACAAUAUGUUUCAUUACCCCUUCCCUUGACAAAGUGGAUUCUUGGUCAUGGUUCCCCAAAAUAGCAGCCCACGGGAUGUUUGAUGCAAUUGCAGGCUGAAAUGCAGCACUCAGUGAUUUUGCAGCAUCCGUGGCAUCAAAGCCAAAGAUGUUAUCCCCUAUUUCCCAAAGUAACAAUAAUACUUCCAUUAGCUCAGAUUGUGAAAGGAGCAUACUUGUUAGAGCUUACCCACUACAUGCCAUAUAUACUGUUACCAAAUUAGGAAACAUGCUUCGGUAAACAAAUUAACAACUGGGUUUUGUUGUUUAUAUCCAAAUUUCAGAAUAACAAUCAUGUAUAGACCAAAAAAAAAAAAAAAAAAAAUCAGAACCAAGAACAUAACUAGGAAUUAGAAAAGGAAAGGGUAAAUAAGAGUAUAACGGGUACCAGUGAAAACAAUAAAAUCGGGCUUCUCAGCUUGAAUCAUGCGCUCAACAAAGGCAGUGGUGUUGAGGUCAGAGCAAGUAGGCAUCUGAUUUGGGAACACAUCGAGGCAAGACGUGGUCUUGCCAUCCGCAAAGUGCAUAUCUGCCACUUGCAGUAUCUUGAACUCUCCAUUUUUUCUAAAUCGCAGCUCUUUUUUCACACCCAACACAGAUUUUGGAACGAAGAAGCAUAGAGAAAAAACCACAACCCCCAAAAAGUGGGAGGGUGAAAUUCUUGGUGUGUUCUUCUUCGCCAUCGUUGUUACCUACUUAAAAUCAGCAAACCCGAUGCCUUCAGCAUUGUCUUACAGCUAGAUAUAGGGAGAGUGAGUCUAGUCCUAGUUUGGCAUGUAGCCUAGAGCUAAAGUGUGCAAGUCAAAAUCACAUUCAAGACAAAGAAAGCUUCACAUACUGAUCAUCUUCUUAAUAAAAUCAGAUUAAAUAUUUAAUAGUGCCCAAAAGGAUAUUCCUUUCCUUGUUGCGUAGUCAUUGAAGGGUGUCUUUUUUUUCUAUAAAAAUAUUUGUGUUAGAAUCAAACAGGAUUUUUGGGCAACGCGAGGUGGAGGACAGGGACUGUUUUAUGUUCUAGCUCUUUUACUCAAAUAUUAUUUUAUUUAGAUCUUAAUUUUGUGAACUCUACGAUCAACUCAAAAAAAGUAUUUGAUUGAAACAUUAAAAACAUGAUGAAUAAAAAAAAAUUCAUGUAUUUUAUUAAAAUAAAAUAAAAAGUAGAGUAUAAGUAGUGAUUUAGAGCUUCUUUUUUUUUUGUAUUUCAAAAGUAAUUUAAAAAAAAUUUAAAACAUUAAUAUUUUUUUAAUUUUAAAUUAAUUUUUUUGAAGUUUAGAUCAUUUUGAUAUUAUUAUAUUAAAAAUAAAAUUUUUAAAGUUUUUUUAAUAUAUUUUUAAAUAAAAAAUAUUUUUUAAAAACAAAAAUUACUAUAUCCUUUAAAGUUAAAUGAUGUGUUAUCAAAUAAUAGAAAAAUUAAUGAAAGAUAGGCUGAACUUAUUUGGAAAUUUUGAAAAAAUCGAUGUAUUUAAAUAAAAAAAUAUUAAAUUUCAUAUACUAGAUUAAAAAUAAGAGGAAAAGAUAAUGUACUAAUAUUGUAAUUAGUUCUUUAUUUAUUUAUGACAAAUUGAUCUUUUUAUGUUUGUCUACAGCAAUGUGAUGUUUUUUUUUAACUUUAAAUGAAUGUUUAGAAAUUCUGUAAUUUUUAUUUUUGGAUUUCACUUGAAAAUUAUUAAAUUAAUAAUUUUAAUAUGUUAAUAUUAAAAAUAAAAAAAAUAUUAUUUUAAUAUAUUUUUAAAUAAAAAAUAUUUUUUAAAAAUAAUUUAAACUACAAUAUAAAAUACAUGUUAAAUCCUCUUUAAAAACAGUAAAUUGCUUCAAUAUCUAAUAAUUUUUUUAAAUAUUAGUUUCAACGAGAAAAAUAUCAUUUUUUUAAAAUUUAAAUUUUAUUUAAAAUUAAUUUUUAUAUUAUUUUAAUGUACUAAUAUAAGAAUAAAUUUUAAAAAAUAAAAAUAAAAUUAUUUUAAUAUAUUUAUAAAUAAAAACACAAUCACCGAAACAUUCCAAAACAGGAUAAUAGUUGUCGUCGCCGAAACGGAUCUUGACACGUGAUUUGGUUGCACAUGUAACGAGGCUCAUGGACCAAACACAAAAAUAAUAUUAACUGGCAAAGUCCAAAAGGAAGAAAAACAUCAAGCUAUCAUUAUUAACACAGCCAUUAUUGAUACAACAGCUUUGAUGUGGAGAUUGAAAAUAAAAAAGCCGCUGCGUUGACAAUGUCACAGGACCUUGAACCCUCUGGCUUCUUUUGCUUUUUCAUUCUGAGAUAUUCACGGACCUGUAAUUAGAUCCAAGUUGUUCUCUAACUGGGUCCAACGCAGGCCGUCUACCCACAACCACCGUGAAGGAGCAGGCUACUUUCGGCCGGAUAAGCCUCAAAAUACAAGGCCAUCUACAUUAACAACACUACCGAGCUGCUAGCAUUGGCGAGCCUUCAACUCACACGACCAGCCCUCCAUGUUCCGAAAGAGUUGAGGGACUCGGAUGCUUUACUGAGAUGGCAACUGAUAGACAGAACUGACAGGGAAAGAGCAAGAGACCACGAUUUAUUUGAUGUCUUCUGCACGGGGAAUUCAAUAAGAUUUCCAUAUCUAGUAUGUCGAAAUGACAUCCGUUUCAACUUUCUAGCUUGCUUUUUAAGUUGAUCGAGCAAACACGAUAUGUUUCUAAACAAAUAGGUUUUCUCGGAUUUGAAAAUUCAGUAUUGUCUGAUUCACUUGCAUUCAUUUCAGGUGAUAACCAAUCACAAGGGCAUCAAUCAGAAUAUCAAAACUUUAUUACAAACUAUCAGAAGCUUGAGGAAACAAUUUGACAAAAAAGAGUUAAAUGAGUAAAACAGAUCUUGGGUGUACAACAAUCUGUUGUUACCAUCACAUCGGUCUUAUCAAUUGUGAUUUGAGGGGGCAAUUCAAAAAACUCCCAAUUCUUUCACUCUCCAGCAUAAACAAUAGUAAACUCAUAUCUACCAAAUGAAGCAUGCAAAAAUGUCAGUUCUGUUAUUUUGAUCCCGAACAAAACGACAAUAAGGAUCAGCGACAGUUAAUUACAGAGAAACAUAUUGCCUUCUGGUGCACAGGACAUUACAGGGAUAAAUCAAGAUCAUUACGAUCCAAUACUGCUCAAUGCUUGGUACAUUACCUACUGGCUUCACCAUUCAGAGUCGGAGAUUUAGGAUGUAUGCUGCCGGUCCAUGCUUCAUAUGCUCUUUCCUGAUGAUUUUUUCGAGUACGUUAUGCAGAGACCACUGAAAGAAGAGUAGAGAGCAAUAAGUUCCAGGGAUCUCCGAUCUAUUAAGGCUAACUCAACGGAUAAUCGCGAGUAGUACUCUUAUCUAGUAAAUCUCUUGAAGGAUUGGUCAAUUUUCCAUAUGUGUAGGUGUCUGGUAUUGGCUCUUCUAGUUUUAUUGCUACUUGGAUCUUGCUACCGUGCAUGGUGGGCAGUCUCUCUGGAAGUUGGCACAAAAUAAGAGAUCAAGUCACUAAAGUAACCGAGAAACGAGAGGCAAUGAAAACCCAUGACCCAACUAAACAUUUUUAAGUACCUCUGUCUCUUCAGCAUUGUAGAGCGACUUGUUCGGUGCAUUACAUGCUUAACUGGAAGAUUUGUCAGUGCGAUUUUCGUUGUACAGAUGGCUAUUAAUUCCAAUCUGGCGUUCCAGUCUGUUCCAUUCUGCAUUCUGCAUUCUGCUGGUCAAUAACAGCAACAGAGUGGCGAGACAUUGACUUGAACAACUAGUUUAUGGCUCUAGAUGGAGCCUGAUUCAACCCAGGUAUGGCACAAAUGCUCGCUUCAAGAUUAUCUGGAAGGGGUUCUUGAGAGAAUUAUUCACUUGCCAGCACAACUAAUUCUUGUGAUCCUUGAACAAUUCUCGUGAGGAAAAAUUUGUUUCAAGGCGAAUCAUCUUUUUGGCGCAUAAUUGAUGCCUUUUGGUACCUUAGUUUUUCAAUCUCUUUUGCUAGAAAGUCCAAAGUCGUGUCUGUGACAUGGUUUGGCAAGCAGCCUGCGUCCAACAUCAUUUUUAAGAAUUUAUAUGCGUCUUUCAACCGACCUGUCUUGCUAUGAACUUCAAUCAUAAUAUUAUAAGUGACCACAUCAGGAUUUAAUCCACUAAUCUUCAUCUGUUCGAAAAGAUUGUUAGCUUCAUCAAUCCUACCAGCCUUUCCCAGUGCAUCAAUCAGGGUGUUAUACAUAACAAUGUCAAGGUAACCACCUUGCUUCAUUAGCUUAUCUAGAACGGAGCUGGCUAGAUCUGCUCUCCCCAUUUUCCCCAACCCUUGAAUCACCAAAUUGUAUGUUGCGAUGUCUGGUGGGCAAACCUUUUCACCCAUUUCAUUAAAAACAUCCCAUGCCCUAUUGAAAUAACCCUUCUUCACAAAAGAACUCAUGAUAGAAUUGUAAGUGUAACUCACAGGGUCCACGCCCAUAUCAGUGAAUAUCUCAAACAACUUGCAGGCUAAGCUCAGCUUUCCCUUGGCCAAAAAUAUAGACAAGAACGUAUUCACCAUAUCAAUAUCAAAAGAGCCUGCCCCUUUAGCUUGAACUCUCUGGCCCCUAGCCAGCGAAAAUAGCUGAGAAGAAAGGUCAGUGGAUUUCGCUUGAUUGGCCAAAUGAUCCAUGUAUGGAGAUGAUGACCACUGAUCAGUGUCAGCAGACGAACUCUUCUCAUCCUCAGUCGCACCAUCAUCUGACCUUGACUUAGGGGAACUUAUUGAACUCAUAAUUUCCUGGAGGCCACCAGUAGAUGGAAACAUGGGAGUAUAAUCCUCUCUACUUCUUGGUGGAUUUUUCAAUGAAGCCUCCAUAUCUGCCCUCCAUUUGAGAACAUUUGGUAAUAGAUUAACAUCCCUUAUGUGCUUCAUCAACCUCUCUGUGCAAUCCCACCUACCUUGUUUAUGAAAUGCAAUCAAGAGCGAUGUUAUAGUGAUUAGGUCAACAACAAAGCCUCUUUCCUCCAUUUCUUCAACCAAGUGCAGUGCUUCCUCAAGAUGACCUUUCCUACAAAGUAGCAACACAACAAUGCUGUAGGUAACAGCAUCCACAAAUUGACCCUUCUUCUUCAAACCACAAAAUAAAUUGUAACCAGCUUCAGCCCUGCCAUUCUUGCACAACCCAUCAAUCAGAAUAUUGUACGUCCAACAUGAGGCCCUUACUCCAUCCUGAACCAUCUUCUCGAACAACUGGCAUGCUUCCAUAACUUUCCUUGCCUUGAACAUCCCAUCUAAAAGAGAAUUGUACACUACGGUAUCUGGAAGGAACCCAUUGUACUGCAUUUCACUAAAAAUCUUUGUUGCGUCUUCCAUUUGAUAAGAUUUACAGCACCCUUGUAUAAGUAUUCGAUAAGUAAAGGCAUCGGGCUCAUGACCAGACACCUUUAAUUCCUCAUACACAAUCACUGCGUCCUUCACCUUCCCAGCCAAGCAUAGAACAUGAAUCAGGCUAUUAUAGGUGCACAAAUCAGGAUCCAAUGACCCAGAAGCCAAACUCUUUUCCUUCAUCUCUUUAAAAAGCCUCAAAGAAGUAGUCAGAUCACCCCAACAACCAAAUGCAUGAAUGCAGAUGUUAUAACCCCAUGUAUUCAACUCGAACCCCCCUUUUCCCCUCAAUUUAGCAAAAACAGUUUUGAAUUCUACUUUCAUUUCUCCAUUUCGAAGCGCAACCAACAAAGCGUUGCAUGCUACGGAGCCCGGAAGUGAAACACCAACAGCAUUCUCUUCAUUACCAUCAGAAGCUUCUAGAAGCUUAAACAUUAUAGACAAUGCUAAACCCACCUGGUUUUUCUUAGCAAGUGCAACGAUAAUAGAAUCAUACAUAUGGGGGUUCGGGUUAGAUCCUAAUUCCUCCAUGUGAUCAAGAAUGUCAAGUGCAGAGUCAAACUUCCCAGAUCGAAUAAAUGCAUCAAGCAACAACUUAAAAGUCUCAGACCCAACAACAACACCAUCAUUCUUCAUUGAAUUCAGCAAAUCAGGAACUUCAUCAAGGUACCCAGAACGGCACAAAGUGGAAAACAUUUGAGAGUAUGUGCUCACCGAGUGUUUGUAAAUAUGCCGGACAGAACACCAUUUGAAAAAUUCCAUUUUCUUAGAGCUGUCAAGAGAGUUCCUCCGUAGGAUUUGGAGAACCAGAGAUUCUGAAAGAGGAAUUGAAUCUGGGUCCAGACUACGAGUGCCGGACUCGGAGAGGGUCUUGGUUAGAUAAGCCACCAGGAGUAUGUUUCCCAUUUGGUACGAUGACGAUGAAGAUGUUGAUAGAGGGGUUCUUGCGUGGUGUAAUGUGUUUGGUUUCGGGGUUUCCUUUGGGAAUCCAAAACAUGAAUGUCUUAGUUGUCUGGUUGUUGUUCUGCAUCUUGACAUUGCUGCCACCUGAUUCUUGUUUGAAAGGAUUAAAAGGCUGUGAAGUUGAACUGAUUUCUAAGUAAUAAAUUUUAUUUGAUUUCAUUUCUCAUUAAAGAAGUCUAAUGUUUGGAAUGAAAUCUUCAGUGAUAGAACUGAACUAGCCUCGGUGCCUGGUUUUACCGCGAGUCUGUAUUAUUUAAAAACAAAAAAAUAUUCAGGCAUUUAAAUGGGAUAAAAUAAUGAUAUAAAAAAUUAGUUACGAUAAGAUUGUAACAAGGCUGAUUAAAGUUAAGUUAACGAGAGAUAUUUUGUUAAACACGCUGUACAAAUUAUAUAAUUGAAAUAGCUUAAUAAAAAUAAAAAGAAUUAUAAUUUUUUUAAAAAAAUAUGUUAAUUUUUUAAAUAUAUGAGUCAAUUCAUUAGAGUUGUCACACUCAAUCAAAAAAAGUCAUAAAAUUUAAUUUUUAAUAAAUUAAAUAUAAAAUAAUAAAAUAAACUAUACAGAAAAUUUUAAAAAAUAGAAAUAUAAAAAAUAAUCAUCAAAAUUAUUAUUACUAUUAUUGUUAAUAAGUUAUAUAAUUAUUAUCAUCAUUAUCAUCGUUGUUGUUGCUAGCAUUAUCAUUAUUAAUAAUAAUAAUACCAGUUUUAUUGAUAUCGUUUUUAUUUUUAUAAUAAUAAUUAUUAUUAUUGUUACUAUUAUUACUAUCACUACUACUAUUAUUAUUAUUAAUAUUUUUAUCAUCAUUAUUCUUCUUCUCCUCCCUAUUAUUAUUAUGGUUAUAAUAUUAGUAAUAAUGGUAUUAAUAAUAGUAAUAAUAAUUUUAAUAUUGAUAAUAAUAAUAAUGAUGAUGGUGAUUAUAAUAUUAAUGAUACUAAUUCUUUUUUUUAGCCAUGAUUUCAAAUAAAAAAUUCUGUGAAAAAAAUUAAAAUCUGUGAACUCAAUUCUUUUAAUUAGAUUUCUUUCCAACCGUGAAAUUCAGGUGAAAUUGAAGAAUUGAAAUCAAUUCCGACACAAAACUUGAUUUUCCGAACAGCCUAAAAGUUUGUUCAUGUUCGCAUUCUCAAAAAACAUUGCAUUAUAUUAUUAUUAUUAUUAUUUGAUAGAAAUGAAUGUUCAUGUGAAAACAUGAACUUAAUGCCCGUGGAUAGCACUGUAUUUUUUCAAGAUUUUAGAAAGUUAUCUAAUAGAUAAUCUAGUGGUAAGAAUUUAAGAUAAAAAAAUUUAUUUUUUUUAUUGUUUCAAGUAAUUUUAGCAUUUGUGGGAUUAGUCGAGGUAUGUACAAGUUAACCCGGACACCCACAUUAAUAAUAAUAAAAAAAAAAUCAGGAAGUCUUUUGAUCAUCCCAGCACAGUUCCUUGUAUCAUUUUAUUUGUAGAAUCAAGAGAUUAUCGAGCUUCACCCUUAUAUGAUACAGUUGCAGGUUUGACUAGGUGGCUUCUCAACCGAAGGCUUUAGUCCUUUGACACCUUCUAAUUAUUCUACGAGAUGACAUGUCCGCGCGCUGCUGCAGGUUUAUAAAAUAAAUGUAUUUGAUAGUAUUAUAAUUAUAAAUCAGCGCUAGAUAAGUAAUAGAAAUUAAAGGUAUGAUGGAGCAAAUAUUUCAUGAUGAAAAAAAAGUUGUGUUGGUAAUCCAAAACUUAGAGACUGAACAAAAUGAUUUGUAGUAAUUUACAGUGUUUUGUGAGGAAAGAUAUAGUGCUUUCGCCACAUAAUUUAGCUUUUCAGUUAAUAAAAAGAAAAAAAAUUAUAAAGCUAAAUUCUCUACCAACUUAAUAUUAAAAAAAAACCAACAAAGAUAAUUUUGGAAGGAAAAAAACCCAUGAGAAAAAACGUUGUAGCAAUUGACAAUGUUUUGUGAGGAAAACUAUAACGUUUUUCUCAAUAAAAUAAAAUAAAAAACCAUUUAGAGAAAUAUUGUAGCAAUCCACAGUGUUUUGUGAGAAAAACUACAACGCUUUCCUUAUAUGAUUUAGUUUUAUUGUAAUUAUAAUUCUUAACCAACUCAAUAUUAAAAAAAAAUCGACAAAGAUAAUUUUGGAAAAAAUCAUUAAAAAAUCACACGGAAAAAUACUGCAACAAUUCACAGUGUUUUAAAGAAAAAAAUUAUAAAGCUAAAUUCUUAAUCAGCUCAAUAUUAAAAAAAAUAAUUCGACAUAGACAAUUUUAGAAAAAAAAAACAAAACAAACACCAAAAAAAGAAAAAACAAAUCAUGUUGGAAAUACUGUAGCAAUUCACAGUGUUUUGUGAUGAAAGCUACAAUGCUUCCCCACAUGAUUUAGCCUUAUUUGUAAUAACUUGUAAUUGUAAUUCACAAACAACUUAAUAUUAAAAAAAUAAAGUUGAAAAGGAUAAUUUGAAAAAAAUUAUAAAAAAAACCAUGUGGAAAAAAACACUGUAGCAAUAAACAAUAAUUUUCAAAAAAAGUUACAGUAUUUUUCUCACAUAUUGUAACUGUAAUUUUUAACCAACUCAAUAUUAAAAAAUAAAAUAAAAUAAAAUAAAGAUAAUUUUGGAGGAAAAAAAACCAUGCGGAGAAAUACUGUAGCAAUCAACAAUGUUUUAAAAAAAAAAUACAAAACCAAAUUCUUAAUCUGCUCAAUAUUAAAAAAAAUCGACAAAUAUAAUUUUGAAAAAUAAAGAAAUAAAAUAGAAAAACUAAGUGGAAAAACAUCACAGCAAUCCACAGCAUUUUAAAGAAAAAAAUUACAAAGCAAAAAUUUUAACCAGGUCAAUAUUUAAAAGGUAAAAUCAACAAAAAUAAUUUUGGAAAAAAAACAAAAAAAAAGAAAAGUUAAAAAAAAAAACAAACAAACAGGGAGAAAAAUCACUAUAGAUUAUUGUUGUAAUCCACGGUGAAAUGUGUAUGAGAAAAUGAUUCCUCCACACCCCAUUUAGAGUAUAUUUUAAUACGAAUAUCACUCAAAAGGACUGAAUGCUGGACACGACAUUUGACCUUCUAAUUACUGUGGUUCAACCAGAUGUUUGAGUAGGAUGACAUUUGACAGAGUUUCGGUCAUCCCCACUGCAAUUCCUUCAAUGUCGUUUUCAAUCCAUCGGUGUAGGAAAAAUUCAUCAGUAAUUAAGACAUAAUUCAAAAGGUCAAUGACUUCGACUCCCAGAUUCAGCAAAGCAUACAUAAUUUUGUUUUUAAAGAUCAAAUAUGUAGAAAUACCCAAUAUUUUAUUAUCAAAAUGUAGAAAUGUUUUUAGAAGAAUUGCAGAACCUUCCUAAAACAUGAUUAUCCAUUAUUGUCUGUUGUGAUUACCUUCACUGUUUACAUUUACUUCGAGGACACGUAUAUCAAAAUCGAUGAAUAAGGUUACAAAUAUGUGAAACAUUUCCGCUUCUUACUUCCUCGGUGUUAAGCCAUCUCAUGUGCUCGUUACUCAGGGCUGCCAACCUGUUUCUUUCUACGGACUUCUGUUCAAAGGAAAUGAAAAGGAGUAAGCAAACAAGGGAUGGCAUGAAACAGAAAACAGGAAUGCAUCGCCUCCUGACCAACAAAACAUUUGCGAAUUCAUUCCAAUGUGUCUUUUUAAUUCUUGUAGGUGCAAGUAUAAGUAUUAAUGAUAUGGUUAUCCUCUCAUUGGAGAGUAAUAUAAUAUAAGUUAGAGUUCCCUUCCUACCUUCUCUCCUAAUUUUCACUAACAACAGUUAC